CCGCCCCGCCCCGCCCGCGCCCGUAAAUGCCGGCGGAUCCGCGCCCGCUCCGCUUUGUGCGGUGGAUGCUCAUCCUGCUCAUCCCGGGCUGCGGCGGGACCGUCGUUCGGAGCGCUGUGCGGAGCCCGGCACCGGGGGCUGCUCCCGGCGCUGCGCCGAGCCCGAGGCGCUGAGAGCACAGGACAUCCUGAGUGGGAAUGGAUACACAAGGACCGCUAAGUCGAACCCUUAUGUGAAUGGCUCCUCUGGCGAUUGAACCCACACCUGGCCAUUCUCAGCACCCUGCUCCAACUAAGCCAAUCUCAGCUCCUGGCAAUGUCCUGCCUGGGAUAGGAAUGCCAAGUGCCAGCAAGGUUCAUUCCUAUGCAAAUACAGCUCCUUCUUUUAUGCUAAUGCUGCUUUCCACACCAGCCCCUGCAAUGGCCACAGGGCAGACCUCCAUGGCCAGCACCUGAUCAUGGAACAACACAGCUGAGCAGUUGUGUGACAGCACUGAACUCUUCCCAUAACCCUGAUUUCCUGCCCUUUCUAGGAUUUACCCAACAGCUGUAAAGGUGCUCAUUCCAUGGCCCUUUCCAGGGAGAAAUGAGCAAGGUAAGUCCUGAGGGUUCACUUGGUCUACGGCCAAAGCUCUUCUGGAGAGUGUCAGGGUUGCUCCUGCCUGCAGAGGGGCCUUUCCCACAGGUGCCCUGGGGAUGCCAGGGAGGUGCCUUUGCCCACAGUGCCUUUCUCCUGCCCCUCUCCAGCCCGAGGCCUCUUCUCCCUUCCCUGCCAGCUGCUGCCAAGGAAGGAGGACACAUUCCCCACUGAGAAGAACACAACCUCACAGCUGUUAAGGCCUGACAGUUCCCUGCAGGGAGAGCUCAGCACAUGUCCACAGAGGCAAUCCCAGCAUCUGCAAGAAAGAAAGAAGCAGCAAAAGACUGCCUCUGCCGUGGGGUUUUCUCCAGGAGAAGCCAAGGAAUUGCUCAUGGAAGGGUGCAGAUUACAUUAUCCCAAAGGGAAGCAAAGAAUAAGUACUCCAGGAAGAGCCCUUGGCAUCUGCUGGGCUGAGGUGGGAAGGGGACAUUCAUUCCCUGCAGGGCCAAUACACAACAACCUCCAACCCAAAGCACUGACUGGCAGGUGGGGUCUGACAGCACCACUCUGACAAACCUCCUUGUCAUUCUUCCCUGCAGUGACUUUUGCAAUCGAACUCUGAAGCUGACAAGCCCAGAAGCUCUGUCCAUCCACUCUGGAACGAAAGGAUACUCCCAGGGAUGAGGCACAUUCCCAGCAAACGCUCCCAACACAGCCUGGAGGCAGCGCUGGAGCUCGGGUGUGGGGCUGGGAAGGGCUGCCAGGAGCACGCAGCCCCCAGGUGGGGUGGCAGCGGCAGCAGCAAAUUCCCACAGGCUGAUGGCACAGCAGUGCCCACGGGAGGUGCAGGGUUAAUUCUGCUCCCUGCCCUGCCCCAUCCCCGCAGGAAAUCUCCAAGGGGGAGAGAAACUCUCAGGGUGCCCAAAAUGCAGCAUCUGUCACCCUGAUCCUGCUUCAACUCAGCGUGGGGGGCCAAACUCCUCCCACAGGUAAACACUGAGCUGACCUGGUCAGUCUCAAACACAGCCCCAGUUCUCACCUCCAGCCUGCUCCUGGGGCUGCUGCCACAUUCCUGACAAGGAGCCCCUGUGGACAGGGCUCUCUCUGUGUCUCAGGUGCUGGGCACUGCAGGGACCACGGCAGCCCCCUCUGGGGACAAUUGGGGAUUCAUCCCACACCACAGGCAGGACCAGGGGCCCUCCAGUACAGGCUGGUGGGGCCAGAGCCCAUUGGGUUUGGCUGCUCAAACACCAAAGCUUUUGGCAAAGAUGGGACAAGUUAAGUGGGUUUUCCUGUCCUGAGAGAGAGAAGAAAUUGUUGAAAUUAAGCAUGGAAAUUAAGUCCACUGUGGAAGUCAAAGGCUCCUGGCUUUCCCACUCCUGUUCUGAUUGCUCACUAGAGGGUUUUAUCCAUUAAAAAAAUGAGGUGGCACCAAAUAAAAGAGCUCUUUUUCAACA
Corvus hawaiiensis (hawaiian crow) is the source of this 2036-nucleotide long non-coding RNA. RefSeq lists it as uncharacterized. The record is from RefSeq and is a predicted model, not a curated record. NCBI's taxonomy places the organism in Eukaryota, Metazoa, Chordata, Aves, Passeriformes, Corvidae. The transcript is spliced from 5 exons.